Molecule: long non-coding RNA, 4184 nt
Organism: Syngnathus typhle (broad-nosed pipefish)
Lineage: Eukaryota; Metazoa; Chordata; Actinopteri; Syngnathiformes; Syngnathidae
Exons: 4
Source: RefSeq, a predicted model, not a curated record
AUGAAUAGGUUCCCCGGACAGAGAACGGGCGCGCUUCUUCCUAGUCAGGGCGAUGGCCGUGACGCUGCCCGGAGUAAAAGAACGAAGAUGGAUUUUGCAUUCUUUUUGAGAUUGAACCAAAAUCUACUAAAAUGAAUUUCAAGAGUCUUCGAAUUGGACUUUGUCAAAUUUUAAGCUUCGAGGAAGGCAGAGGAGCAGGCCGCCACCGGGCAGAAAGGGGAAGUUGCCACUUUUACUUUUUUGGCUACGCUCCUCGCGGCCAGACCUUUCCUCUUUUUUAAACAGAAUUCGGAUUUUGGAACAAAUAGGAUAUUAGACCUUUAGUCCCCUCUCUUGUUCUGUGUGGCCACAGCGGCUUUCAUGGAUGAUGGCAAGAGUGUACAGGAAAUGAGGAAGGAGAGUCCAGCUCAUGUGAAAUGCAGUAAAGAAACUUGAACAGCAUCAUCACCAACUAAGCCAUUUGGAUGCUGCAAGCUGGCGGAGAAACAAGCUGGGCAAAAUGGGCAGCAAAAGGUCAUGCAGCAUAAAGCGCUUACCUUUAUCCACUAGUUUUUUAAUCAAUUAGAGUAAGGUAAAGGCACAAGCAAAAGAGAAGACUUGUUAGACGACUUCCCCGCCACUGACCCUCAGGAGUCAAAUGAAAUCCAGCAAACUUACCAAGUUCCUCUAAUUCAGACGUCAUUGACUUGGAGCGCAUGGACAGGGCAGUAGUAGGAGCUCUCUUUGGCGGAGGAGGAGCUGAGGGGUCAAAAGAACAUAGUAGUUAACACAGGUACUGAAAAGGGAGUAACAGCAAUGUCUAAAUAUUCUAUGUUAAUUCUAUAUUAAUUUAUACAAACAUAGUUGCUCCAUCAGAGCACAGACACGGCACACAGCUUGGUAACUUUUCCAUUACACAUAAGGCAGAGCUCAUUAACGUCAUGACACAUUGAUACAAAACAUUCAGUAGAUAACAAGACAUUCUUAUGAGGAUAUUAUUUGCUUCUUUUCCCCUCCGUUUUCUUCCCUUCCGUACUCCUGCUUGCGGAGAGUAUAAAACCUUCUGAUCAGGAGUCUGACAUGGUUGUUCUCAUCUGUACUAACUGCCGUGAAGCAACCCAAGAUCUUGCAAAUAAAGAACCAACUAUUACUCCACAUCUUUGUUUUCUUUUCUCAACGAUGGACAUCUUCAACAAAACGCAACGAUUGGUGACCCUGACGUGAUGUCCAGUUGAGCGUUUUUGAGACUUCUGAGAGGGAGAACUUAUUCUGCCGUCUGGAGGCCCGGGGCCCCACCUUUAGAAGGUAAAACACUCUCAACGGAUGAAUGAUCCUCCCCUCAGACCUUGGGUAGCAAUAGCGAAAGAUGGUCAGAUCCUGUGCUGCCACUGUACCUGCAUGGCUGGAUUGGGUGAAACAUGUUCACAUUCAGCAGCAUCCUUGUUCGCCCUGGAAACAUUAAUACGUAUGAAGACGGCCACUUCAUCUACAUCACUACCUUGUCAGUGGCUGAAACUAUCAGCAUCGCACAUAGAAUAUGCUGAAGGAUGCAAUAUCGAUUUUGCCCGUCCAGCCCAGAAACAAAAGUCAGAAGUUUCAACUCCUAAGGAAAGUGCUGCGAGAAAACUGCUGAAUGUUCCUCCACCAACUGAAGAGCAGAAAGCUGCCUUUUACAAGGCUUUGUCUGAAUGUGGUGGAAGACCAGCAAUUUUGAGCAUUGUCCCUGACUAUGCUGACAACUUUGUGCCAAGGGCAGUGAAGCGAAAGCUUCCUGUACCUCUCUCACAGUUGCACGAUUCUGGCAAUAUGAAACUCAGCCCAGAUGAACUUGCACUAAAAUGCCGGUCAGAGGUGGAAAAGUUACAUUCCAUUACCAGAGAGCAGAUCCCGGGAGAGUAAGUCAGUAAACUCACAUUUAUUUUCAUCGAAAGCUACAAUGUGGCCUAAGUGGAUGGUGAAACAGGUCAGAAAAAGAGACUGCUUUUGCUUUUCGUCCCUGCGCCUAUCAUUAAAAUGAUUUAUAAGUAAGUUUAAUAAAUAAGAAAACUUGACAAGAGAAAAAUAGCAGAACAGUGAUUGCUCCUCUUUCUCAAAAGUAUUAUUAUUUCUUUGUCCCUUCUUACUUCAUGACAGCGUGGUGGUUUUGCCUUUUGAUUUUAAAGCCAGUCCUAGUUGGCUAUGAGAAUGCACACUGCAUUAUAGCGUCAGGUAACCUUGACUAAAAUAUGGUCUUGCACUGCCAACAAAGUGAUUUAAAAUACGCCUUACACAAAAGAUGAUGACGACACCCGCAUGGGCCAAUUUUUUUACACUGCGUACUUGCUAAGAAUUCUAGACCACACGUAAGCUCCCAUGCAGAAAACAAGGAGGGCGAGCAAGAGCUGUUGUAAACUGGUUUUGGUUACCAAAGCCGUAAUAGCAAAAACAAAAAUUUGAAAUAAUAUCACAUCGUAGCCUCGGCCAGUCAUGAAAUGUUGAAAUUUAUAAUCGACACCUUCAGUGCCAUUUCACAUCUGUCUGUUUUCUUUCAUAAGUCACCAAGAGGCGCACUGAUUAGAACAUCUGCCUCACAGUUCAGAGGUGCAGGGUUCAAUUCCGGCUCCGGCCUUUCUGUGUGGAGUUUGCAUGUUCUUUUACUGCCUGUGUGGGUUUUCUGCAGAGGCGUAGCCAGGAAUUUUUCCAGUAGGGGCGCGCGCCCACAGGAAAAAAAAUCGAACACCACCCACGCCGUUCGCUGAUCGCUAAAACAACAUCCGGGUCCGGGAGGCAAACGGUGAAUGGAUAACAUCGCACACAUAGCAGAUUCGCGCAAGACCAAAAGAAAAAAACGGCAUGAAAAUGAAGAAUCGAAAAAGCUCGAUUUUUUUCAACCGGGGCGCAGGGAGUCCUAACCGGGGCGCCGCCCCGGCUCGCCCCGGCUUGGCUACGCCUCUGGUUUUCUGCGGGUACUCUAGUUUCACCACACAUCCCAAAAACAUGUACGGUAGGUCGACUGACCACUCUAAAUUAUCCGUGGGGGUGAGUGUGAAUAGUUAUUUGUCUGUGUGCCUUGUGAUUAGUUGGCAACCAGAACAGGGUGUACCCACCUACCACCCAAAGACAGCCACACCAUUCCCAUGCACUCGUGAGGAUAAGUGGUUCGGACGAUGAAUGAAAAUCACCAAGCAAACACAAAGUGGUCAGAGAGGCUUUUUUGUGACUGAAAUCUAAGGGUUAUUUUGUCCACAUACUCCCUCCAUUGCCUAUCCAAAAUAGAGGUGCACCACACUCGGUGAAGGGUGGGCCACAUCACUGGAGGCUCCCAAUCCUAAAAGUCCAACUUUUACAUUUGGACAAGCUGAGCUGGGCGUUGUCUCACAGUUUUUUAUAUUGAAGCACACGGACUGACUGACUGGCAGUGACUGGCAUCUCCUGCUUCGGCCAGAUGGAUGGCAAGCAGAUGGGUUCGAGAGGUCCGGCGGUGGGCAGGAAGCUUCACUGUGUGUCGCGGCUGGUUGAUCCUACUGGCUGAUGUAACACAGACAAGUCUGGCUGGUGAGAAGUUAAAAUCAGUGUGCUAAUCAUUUCCCUUUUACCUCCAUCCAUUUUCUAUACCACUUGUCCCCAAUUGGGGUCGCGGGCAUGCUGGAGCCUAUCCCAGCAGACACCCUGAACCAGUUGCCAGCCAAUCGCAGGGCAUACAGAGACGACCAAACAUUUGCACUCACACUCACACUUAGGGACAAUUUGGAGUGCUCAAGCCCGGAGAAAACCCACACGGGCACGGGGAGAACAUGCAAACUCCACACAGGGAGGACCGGAGGUGGAAUCAAUCCUGCGCCCUCCUAACUGUGAGGCGCACGUGCUAAGCAGUGCGCCACCAAGCUGCCCUCCCUUUAACCUUCAGAAUGCAAUUCCUGCCUGAACAAGCCAUAGGAUGUAGUGGGAGCUGUGUCUGUUGAAAUAUGGUAAGUUAAGCCGUGCCCCCAUGACAUUGUUUACAAACUUGAAAGUGGUCUAUUGUAAGUAAGGAACAUGCAUUGACAUUUACACAUUUACUCCAUACAGCAGGGGUGGGCAAUUCCGGUCCUCGAGGGCCGCUGUCCUGCAUGUUUUCUAUGUCACCCUGUUGCAACACACCUGAUUCAAAUGGUCAGAUAAUUAGCAGGGUCUGCAGAAGCUGGAUAACAAUCCUGAUCAUUUGAAUGAGGUGUGUUGCAGCAGGG